This 383-nucleotide long non-coding RNA is filed under the name Ananas comosus (pineapple). RNAcentral describes it as "long non-coding RNA (ACOM_LNC012121)". The record is from RNAcentral. Lineage: Eukaryota; Viridiplantae; Streptophyta; Magnoliopsida; Poales; Bromeliaceae.
AAGCACCAACCAAAAAGUGAAAGUUCUACAACUAUCAUCACAUUCAUACAUGUAUCUUGAUUACACGAAAUCAAAUACAAGCAUACAUUAAUUUACAUUCACUUUUACAAAAUACAUUUCAUAUCCUCUAAGCAUAUGCCGUUUGUACUGUUAAGUCUUGUGUGUUGGCAAGUUUCGUGAAGUGAGUCGGAGUCUUGAAGAAUCGGUGCGUAGCGUCGAAGAUUGAAGAAUUCAAGAUUUCGAAGAAAUUGAAAAAUAACUCACGAUGUGAAUCACGAUGCCCAGGUAAAGUGUUAAUUCAUGUUAUGGUGAUUCAUACUUAGUUGUAGGCAUUAGAAUCAUAAUAUCAAUAUUUACUGGAUUAGAAAGUGCAUCGAAACUUU